RNAcentral lists this ribosomal RNA (450 nucleotides) under uncultured bacterium. Its description in RNAcentral is "bacterial SSU rRNA". It matches the Rfam family "Bacterial small subunit ribosomal RNA", at positions 354 to 796 of the family's 1533-position model. The record is from RNAcentral.
GUGGGGAAUUUUGGACAAUGGGCGAAAGCCUGAUCCAGCCAUGCCGCGUGCAGGAUGAAGGCCUUCGGGUUGUAAACUGCUUUUGUACGGAACGAAAAGACUCUGGUUAAUACCUGGGGUCCAUGACGGUACCGUAAGAAUAAGCACCGGCUAACUACGUGCCAGCAGCCGCGGUAAUACGUAGGGUGCAAGCGUUAAUCGGAAUUACUGGGCGUAAAGCGUGCGCAGGCGGUUAUAUAAGACAGAUGUGAAAUCCCCGGGCUCAACCUGGGAACUGCAUUUGUGACUGUAUAGCUAGAGUACGGCAGAGGGGGAUGGAAUUCCGCGUGUAGCAGUGAAAUGCGUAGAUAUGCGGAGGAACACCGAUGGCGAAGGCAGUCCCCUGGGCCUGUACUGACGCUCAUGCACGAAAGCGUGGGGAGCAAACAGGAUUAGAUACCCUGGUAGUCC